RNAcentral lists this ribosomal RNA (624 nucleotides) under Mucor fragilis. Its description in RNAcentral is "partial 18S ribosomal RNA". The stretch from base 228 to 380 matches the Rfam family "5.8S ribosomal RNA". Lineage: Eukaryota; Fungi; Mucoromycota; Mucoromycetes; Mucorales; Mucoraceae. The record is from RNAcentral.
CCUGCGGAAGGAUCAUUAAAUAAUCAAUAAUUUUGGCUUGUCCAUCAUUAUCUAUUUACUGUGAACUGUAUUAUUACUUGACGCUUGAGGGAUGUUCCAUUGCUAUAAGGAUAGGCACUGGAAAUGUUAACCGAGUCAUAAUCAAGCUUAGGCUUGGUAUCCUAUUAUUAUUUACCAAAAGAAUUCAGAAUUAAUAUUGUAACAUAGACGUAAAAAAUCUAUAAAACAACUUUUAACAACGGAUCUCUUGGUUCUCGCAUCGAUGAAGAACGUAGCAAAGUGCGAUAACUAGUGUGAAUUGCAUAUUCAGUGAAUCAUCGAGUCUUUGAACGCAACUUGCGCUCAUUGGUAUUCCAAUGAGCACGCCUGUUUCAGUAUCAAAACAAACCCUCUAUCCAACUUUUGUUGAAUAGGAUGACUGAGAGUCUCCUGAUCUAUUCUGAUCUYGAACCUCUUGAAAUGUACAAAGGCCUGAUCUUGUUUGAAUGCCUGAACUUUUUUUUAAUAUAAAGAGAAGCUCUUGCGAUAAAACUGUGCUGGGGCCUCCCAAAUAACACAUCUUUAAAUUUGAUCUGAAAUCAGGUGGGAUUACCCGCUGAACUUAAGCAUAUCAAUAAGCGGAGG